AGCAAGAAUAGACUGUUACGGACAUUCUGUUUACAGGCAACUCUAGGGUUUGUCAUUAUUUCCUAUUUUGGUGUUUCUUUCUGUUCUUAUCCUAUCAUGGCUUGUGUUCACUAAUAGCUUGCACCACAUAUAACAUGGUGUCAGAAGUAUCUGAACCUGAUCUAAUUCUAUACAUUUGAUCCUAAGAGCUUGCAAUUCUUUCAGUGAGAGACAUUAGACCUGCUUGUGUCCUCCUGUAGCAAAGACCGUCCUGUCCCGGAGGUUGGGC
Molecule: non-coding RNA, 268 nt
Organism: Pelobates cultripes (western spadefoot toad)
Lineage: Eukaryota; Metazoa; Chordata; Amphibia; Anura; Pelobatidae
Source: the annotation of a GenBank genome assembly